Sporocytophaga myxococcoides is the source of this 374-nucleotide non-coding RNA. It matches the Rfam family "Bacterial RNase P class A". From Rfam's summary of the family: Ribonuclease P (RNase P) is a ubiquitous endoribonuclease, found in archaea, bacteria and eukarya as well as chloroplasts and mitochondria. Lineage: Bacteria; Pseudomonadati; Bacteroidota; Cytophagia; Cytophagales; Cytophagaceae. The record is from Rfam.
AAUGCAAGCCAUCUUAUCGUUCCGACUUUUGAGUCGGGAAGGAAAGUCCGGGCAACAGAGAGCACCAUACUUCCUAACGGGAAGGCUUUUCAUAGUUUUAUGAAAGGACAGAAAGUGCCACAGAAAAUUACCGCCUUGCAAAAGGUAAGGGUGAAAAAGUGAGGUAAGAGCUCACUCGUUUUGCAGUGAUGUAAAAUUGGGGUAAACCUUAUGGGUUGAAAGACCAAAUAGGUUCCGUCUACAACAGAGUUGCUCGCUCUGAUUCCGGCUAACGGAAUGGCGGAAUGGGUAGGUCGUUUGAUUCCCGAUGGCGACUUCGGGACCAGAUAAAUGAUAAGACAAGACAGAACCCGGCUUAACGGCUUGCAUUUUUU